This 500-nucleotide ribosomal RNA is filed under the name uncultured bacterium. RNAcentral's name for it is "partial 16S ribosomal RNA". It matches the Rfam family "Bacterial small subunit ribosomal RNA", at positions 29 to 523 of the family's 1533-position model. The record is from RNAcentral.
AUUGAACGCUGGCGGCAUGCCUUACACAUGCAAGUCGAACGGCAGCACGGGAGCAAUCCUGGUGGCGAGUGGCGAACGGGUGAGUAAAGUAUCGGAACGUGCCCAGUCGUGGGGGAUAACGUAGCGAAAGUUACGCUAAUACCGCAUACGACCUAUGGAUGAAAGCGGGGGAUCGCAAGACCUCGCGCGGUUGGAGCGGCCGAUAUCAGAUUAGGUAGUUGGUGGGGUAAAGGCUCACCAAGCCGACGAGCUGUAGCCGGUCUGAGAGGACGACCGGACACACUGGGACUGAGACACGGCCCAGACUCCUACGGGAGGCAGCAGUGGGGAAUUUUGGACAAUGGGCGAAAGCCUGAUCCAGCCAUGCCGCGUGCAGGAUGAAGGCCUUCGGGUUGUAAACUGCUUUUGUACGGAACGAAAAGGUUUGGCCUAAUAAGCUGAGCUCAUGACGGUACCGUAAGAAUAAGCACCGGCUAACUACGUGCCAGCCGCCGCAGUAA